Molecule: long non-coding RNA, 1692 nt
Filed under: Heterocephalus glaber (naked mole-rat)
Lineage: Eukaryota; Metazoa; Chordata; Mammalia; Rodentia; Bathyergidae
Description: lncRNA (ENSHGLG00100042415.1)
Source: RNAcentral
CGCAGUUGCAGUAGCUUCGCUUCUGGCGCCCGCCUGGGCCAGGGGGCCACCGCCCCUCUUCCUCCGGGUCUUUACCAACCACAAUGUACAGCAGCAGUGGUGCCUUGGCCCUUCUUGUCCCUUAAGGGAGCACCAGGGACAGAUGAGUCCCCAGCCUGGCCUGCCCACUGCGCCCAGAGCCAGUAGGGAGUGGGGCUACAGCUCAGUGUGAGCAGCCUCCGUGCUUGCGCCACCUCCAGGGGCAACCUCGAUGCGCAGUCCAGCUGCAACCUCAUGUUCACGCCUGCCUGCCUGCCUAGUGCCUCUUGGCUGGGGCGGGGGGGGGGCAGAUCAGGCCCCCCACCCCCGAGCCCUGCUGAGAUAAAUGGGGGAGGCAGGGCACUCAGCAUGCAGGACUGGCUUCCGGGAGGUAGAUGCGGUGGGGGGGGGGCAGUGCAGAUGGGACAGGGGAGGGAGGCAGAAGAAACCAGGUGACACCUGCCAGGGAGCCCAAGAAGCAAGGAAAAGGACAAAUGCGACGUGGGAUCUGCAGGGAAAUUAAGUUUUUCUCUGGCAGACAAAUCAGUAUUUUUUUUUGGUACUGGGGAUCGAACUCAUGACCUUGCACUUGCAAGGCAGACAUGGUGCCAGCGAGCAAAGUCCCCAGCCCGAGAAAUCAGUAUUUUAAAUGCAGCCCAUUCCUGUCUUGUCACUGUGGCACUGGAGCCCCCAGUGCCAUCUCUGUGCUGCCGGGGCCCUCAGCCUCCCCUCACUUUGUGCUGGCCAUGAAGGCUCCAGUGUCCAAGCAAGACUUACCAUGGGGACUUGUGGACUGGACCUUGUGGCCCCAUAAUCCUACAGCUAUCAUAAUGGGGACACUUCUUUUUUUUUUUUUUUUUUUAAUAAAAAAGGUUUUACUCCCCAGGAGCAAAUAAAUCAUUUGAACUACUGAUAAACACUGCUGCAGUGAAAACAAAGAUGGCUACAUGUAUGCAAUAGCACAACUCAGUGUGAGAACAGCUGCGUGGACAAUCAGAGAUCAAAACCACUUACCCAUUCCCCUCCCCACAAACCCAACCCCGAGGAUUCCCAUAGGGAAAAUGUCUAACUCAAAGCCCUCCCCUUCACACAGGGGCGCGGUGCUCUCAGCUCUGGGGACAAACUAGGCUCCCCUGGGCUCCCCCGACUGGCAGCAGGACGUCUGCCGAUGGGGACGACAUGCAGCAGCCACGGGACCACAGCCUGGCGGGUGCCCUGUGCCCUGGCUCUGGGGCGCAGAAGGGCUAGGGAGCUCCCUCACCGAGGCACUUCUGGCUCCCGAAGCGUCCCACACCCAGCCUGGGCCACCCCUCCUCCCCACGCCACACAGGGAGGAGCAGGGGUCACAGAGGCAGCUCCUGCUCCAGGCUGGGACAUUCACUUCUGCCUCCACGCAGACGGAGACCAGGGGUGGUCACCAGCGGCCCCCAACUCCUCUAAAGGCCAGACGUCAUCACCCACUUACAGGCCCCACAUCGAAGCUCCGCCCUCCUCCUGUGCCCGACUUGACCCGGCACGUUUCAAGUAACAGCAGGUUGUAGCAGUAGUUGUCACUAGCACACAUCCUGGGGGCCACUGCAGGUCACACCCACAGCGGUCACUAGGAGGGAGGACCCUCCCCAGUGGUGACUACUGCAGCAGCCAGGACUAAAGGGGUCCCUCUGCACAGCAGCC